Molecule: ribosomal RNA, 731 nt
Filed under: uncultured bacterium
Lineage: Bacteria
Description: bacterial SSU rRNA
Rfam family: Bacterial small subunit ribosomal RNA
Source: RNAcentral
CGCGGCUACCCAUGCAGUCGAAGCGGAACGAGUUAUCUGAACCUUCGGGGGACGAUAACGGCGUCGAGCGGCGGACGGGUGAGUAAUGCCUAGGAAAUUGCCCUGAUGUGGGGGAUAACCAUUGGAAACGAUGGCUAAUACCGCAUGAUGCCUACGGGCCAAAGAGGGGGACCUUCGGGCCUCUCGCGUCAGGAUAUGCCUAGGUGGGAUUAGCUAGUUGGUGAGGUAAGGGCUCACCAAGGCGACGAUCCCUAGCUGGUCUGAGAGGAUGAUCAGCCACACUGGAACUGAGACACGGUCCAGACUCCUACGGGAGGCAGCAGUGGGGAAUAUUGCACAAUGGGCGCAAGCCUGAUGCAGCCAUGCCGCGUGUGUGAAGAAGGCCUUCGGGUUGUAAAGCACUUUCAGUCGUGAGGAAGGUAGUGUAGUUAAUAGCUGCAUUAUUUGACGUUAGCGACAGAAGAAGCACCGGCUAACUCCGUGCCAGCAGCCGCGGUAAUACGGAGGGUGCGAGCGUUAAUCGGAAUUACUGGGCGUAAAGCGCAUGCAGGUGGUUUGUUAAGUCAGAUGUGAAAGCCCGGGGCUCAACCUCGGAAUUUGCAUUUGAAACUGGCAGACUAGAGUACUGUAGAGGGGGGUAGAAUUUCAGGUGUAGCGGUGAAAUGCGUAGAGAUCUGAAGGAUACCGGUGGCGAGCGCCCCUGGACAGAUACUGACACUCAGAUGCGAAGC